ACAGGUGCUGCGAUGGCUGUCGUCAGCUCGUGUCGUGAGAUGUUGGUUAAGUCCGCAACGAGCGCAACCCCUAUCUUAAUUGCCAUCAUUCAGUUGGGCACUUUAGAGAGACUGCCGGUGUUAAGCCGGAGGAAGGUGGGGAUGACGUCAAGUCCUCAUGGCCUUUAUGUCUAGGGCUACACACGUGCUACAAUGGGUGGUACAAAGAGCAGCUAACUCGCGAGAGUAUGCAAAUCGCAGAAAGCCGGCCUUAGUUCGGAUUGGAGUCUGAAACUCGACUCCAUGAAGGUGGAAUCGCUAGUAAUCGCGCAUCAGCAUGGCGCGGUGAAUACGUUCCCGGGCCUU
Molecule: ribosomal RNA, 345 nt
Filed under: uncultured Smithella sp.
Lineage: Bacteria; Pseudomonadati; Thermodesulfobacteriota; Syntrophia; Syntrophales; Smithellaceae
Description: bacterial SSU rRNA
Rfam family: Bacterial small subunit ribosomal RNA
Source: RNAcentral